RNAcentral lists this ribosomal RNA (465 nucleotides) under uncultured Syntrophobacteraceae bacterium. Its description in RNAcentral is "partial 16S ribosomal RNA". It matches the Rfam family "Bacterial small subunit ribosomal RNA", at positions 338 to 794 of the family's 1533-position model. Lineage: Bacteria; Pseudomonadati; Thermodesulfobacteriota; Syntrophobacteria; Syntrophobacterales; Syntrophobacteraceae. The record is from RNAcentral.
CCUACGGGAGGCAGCAGUGGGGAAUUUUGCGCAAUGGGCGAAAGCCUGACGCAGCGACGCCGCGUGGGUGAUGAAGGCCUUCGGGUCGUAAAGCCCUGUCGGGAGGGAAGAAACCUCGGUGACCUAAUACGUCGCCGACCUGACGGUACCUCCAAAGGAAGCACCGGCUAACUCCGUGCCAGCAGCCGCGGUAAUACGGAGGGUGCAAGCGUUGUUCGGAAUCACUGGGCGUAAAGCGCGUGUAGGCGGCCUCUUAAGUCUGAUGUAAAAGCCCGGGGCUCACCCCCGGAAGGGCAUUGGAAACUGGGAGGCUCGAGUACCGGAGAGGAGGGUGAAAUUCCUGGUGUAGCGGUAAAAUGCGUAGAUAUCAGGAGGAACACCGGUGGCGAAGGCGGCCUUCUGGACGGAUACUGACGCUGAGACGCGAAAGCGGGGGGAGCAAACAGGAUUAGAUACCCCGGUAGU